This 68-nucleotide transfer RNA is filed under the name Anolis cybotes (large-headed anole). RNAcentral's name for it is "tRNA-His". It matches the Rfam family "tRNA". From Rfam's summary of the family: Transfer RNA (tRNA) molecules are approximately 80 nucleotides in length. Their secondary structure includes four short double-helical elements and three loops (D, anti-codon, and T loops). Further hydrogen bonds mediate the characteristic L-shaped molecular structure. tRNAs have two regions of fundamental functional importance: the anti-codon, which is responsible for specific mRNA codon recognition, and the 3' end, to which the tRNAs corresponding amino acid is attached (by aminoacyl-tRNA synthetases). tRNAs cope with the degeneracy of the genetic code in two manners: having more than one tRNA (with a specific anti-codon) for a particular amino acid; and 'wobble' base-pairing, i.e. permitting non-standard base-pairing at the 3rd anti-codon position. The record is from RNAcentral. Lineage: Eukaryota; Metazoa; Chordata; Lepidosauria; Squamata; Anolidae.
GUUAUUAUAGUUUAAUAAAACAUUAGGAUGUGAACCUAAAAAUAGAAGUUUAACCCUUCUUAAAGACC